RNAcentral lists this ribosomal RNA (422 nucleotides) under uncultured bacterium. RNAcentral's name for it is "bacterial SSU rRNA". It matches the Rfam family "Bacterial small subunit ribosomal RNA", at positions 355 to 774 of the family's 1533-position model. The record is from RNAcentral.
UGAGGAAUAUUGGUCAAUGGGGGCAACCCUGAACCAGCCAAGUCGCGUGAAGGAUGAAGGUCUUAUGGAUUGUAAACUUCUUUUACACGGGAAUAAGGUGGGGGACGUGUCCCCCUUUGCAUGUACCGCGUGAAUAAGGAUCGGCUAACUCCGUGCCAGCAGCCGCGGUAAUACGGAGGAUCCGAGCGUUAUCCGGAUUUAUUGGGUUUAAAGGGUGCGCAGGCGGGAUGUUAAGUCGGCGGUGAAAUUUUGCAGCUCAACUGUAAAAGUGCCUUCGAUACUGGCCUCCUUGAGUGUGGAUGAAGUAGGCGGAAUUUGUGGUGUAGCGGUGAAAUGCUUAGAUAUCACGAGGAACUCCGAUUGCGCAGGCAGCUUACUAAGCCACAACUGACGCUCAUGCACGAAGGCGUGGGGAUCAAACA